UGGGGAGAGGAAACCAGAUGAGUUGUGAUAGCUGCAUUAUGGGAGAUGCACGGUUUCGUGCUUUUUUAAGGAUGUAAGAAGUUGUAUUAGGUGGUGCUUCACGGGUGUUACAACAGGGGUGAAAGGGAAGACCGACAUUGUUGUGGGAUGAUCUGGAGAAGUGCAUAGAAAGUUGGGAUGGGCUGUGGGUAAUGAGUGGUGACUUUAAAAUGGUGCUCCAUCGCAGUGAACGUUCGGGGGAGCGUUACUCAGGCAAAUGAGCUCAGGAGCACUCAAAGACAAAUUCCUUCAGACUUAUGUUAUAGCACGACAUAAAGACAUCACUAUAUGUGAGUCAUGUGGAGAUAUUGGAGGGAAUAGGGAAUGAAUUGUGAAUGUGGUGAAGAAUUUUAAUGAUUGGAAAGUUGAAGAAUAUGCAUCUCUCUUAAAGAUACUUUCCCUUAUCUCUUUAGAGGGGAGCAAUGAUCAACUAUUAUGGAACCUCAAAGAUAAUGGGUCAUUUACAGUCAAAUAUUAUAAUUACUUGGUUAAGCGUUUCAGGAAAUAUGGAAGGUGGAUGCCCCUCCUAGAGUUACUUUUUUUUUUUUUUUUUUUUUUCGUGGGAUGCUGGGCGAGGAUGUAUCUUGAUUAUUGACAAAUUGAUGAAAACGGAAAAAAUUAUAGUGAAUGACUGUUUUUUGUGCAAGAUGGCGGCAUAAUCUUGUAAUUACAUUCUGCUCUAGUGCUUGUUCAUGUAUAAGUUAUGGACUAUGGUUUAUGGGUAAUUGGGUAUUAGUUGUACAAAUAUCUGGCUUGGUAAGGGAUGAGAUCUGGGUCUGGAAGAGCUUUAAUAAUGAGAAAAAAUAUCUGGGUGUCAUUCCUUUUACUAUUUUAUGGGUGGUGUGGAAAAAGAGAAAUAAGAGAGUUUUUGAGGGGGUGGAGGAAGAUUUUGUUAAUAUUAGAGAUAGA
RNAcentral lists this long non-coding RNA (948 nucleotides) under Carica papaya (papaya). Its description in RNAcentral is "long non-coding RNA (CPAP_LNC013346)". The record is from RNAcentral. Lineage: Eukaryota; Viridiplantae; Streptophyta; Magnoliopsida; Brassicales; Caricaceae.